AAGUCGUAACAAGGUUUCCGUAGGUGAACCUGCGGAAGGAUCAUUACCUGGCCUUGGGCCGCUCGCGGGGGUGCGUCGCUUGCGAUGACGCUCCCGGGGGCGCUUAGCCCUUGACUAUCACCUUGAUUAUGUGCACCUUUGUUGUUCCCUCGGCAGCUCGCUGCCGCCAGGGACCCCGAAACCCCCUUGCAUUAGCAUCAAAACCUCUGAAAACAAACCUAAUUAUUUACAACUUUCAACAAUGGAUCUCUUGGUUCUGGCAUCGAUGAAGAACGCAGCGAAAUGCGAUAAGUAGUGUGAAUUGCAGAAUUCAGUGAAUCAUCGAAUCUUUGAACGCACAUUGCGCCCCUUGGUAUUCCAUGGGGCAUGCCUGUUCGAGCGUCAUUUACACCCUCAAGCUCUGCUUGGUGUUGGGCGUCUGUCCGCGCUGCCCGCGCGGACUCGCCCCAAAGGUAUUGGCAGCGGUCUUGCCAGCUUCUCGCGCAGCACAUUGCGCUUCUCGAGGCUCCGGCGGAUCGGCGUCCAUCAAGUCACACCCACAGUUUGACCUCGGAUCAGGUAGGGAUACCCGCUGAACUUAAGCAUAUCAAUAAGCGGAGGAAAAGAAACCAACAGGGAUUGCCCUAGUAACGGCGAGUGAAGCGGCAACAGCUCAAAUUUGAAAUCUGGCCUCCUUUGGGGGUCCGAGUUGUAAUUUGCAGAGGGUGCUUUGGCGUCGGCAGCGGUCUAAGUUCCUUGGAACAGGACAUCACAGAGGGUGAGAAUCCCGUACGUGGUCGCCUGCCUUCGCCGUGUAAAGCCCCUUCGACGAGUCGAGUUGUUUGGGAAUGCAGCUCUAAAUGGGAGGUAAAUUUCUUCUAAAGCUAAAUACCGGCCAGAGACCGAUAGCGCACAAGUAGAGUGAUCGAAAGAUGAAAAGCACUUUGGAAAGAGAGUCAAACAGCACGUGAAAUUGUUGAAAGGGAAGCGCUUGCAGCCAGACUUGCUCGUAGUUGCUCAUCCGGGUCCGCCCGGAGCACUCUUCUGCGAGCAGGCCAGCAUCAGUUUGGGCGACCGGAUAAAGGCCUCUGUCAUGUAUCUUCCUUCGGGAUGACCUUAUAGGGGAGGCGUAAUGCGGCCAGCCCGGACUGAGGUCCGCGCAUCUGCUAGGAUGCUGGCGUAAUGGCUGUAAGCGGCC
This 1177-nucleotide ribosomal RNA is filed under the name uncultured fungus. Its description in RNAcentral is "eukaryotic LSU rRNA". The stretch from base 545 to 1177 matches the Rfam family "Eukaryotic large subunit ribosomal RNA", at positions 1 to 649 of the family's 3401-position model. The record is from RNAcentral. Lineage: Eukaryota; Fungi.